Molecule: long non-coding RNA, 940 nt
Organism: Anthonomus grandis grandis
Lineage: Eukaryota; Metazoa; Arthropoda; Insecta; Coleoptera; Curculionidae
Exons: 3
Source: RefSeq, a predicted model, not a curated record
CCACAUAGCAAUAAGAAGCAUAUUCAUAUCUAUAGCAUAUACCCAGAAUCUGAUUGAACGAAUAUUCUUAUUUUCAUAUUCUUAGCAUGUUCUACCAAGAUAUAGUUAUGUACCACCUAUAUUCUUAGACGUAUGUUCCCGUGCAUUUAUUCAUAACAUAUGCUAAGAAUAUUUCGCCAUAUUCUUAUAAAAUACUUUAUAGGAUAUACUUCAGACGAUGUGCGUAGCAUAUGCUUAUGAUAUACCGGGAUAUAUUAUACAAAACAACAUGACAACAGCGCCACCUGGUGCUACUGCCUCAGCCGGUAGUGCGGCCAGCCGGUAUUUUUGACAUUUUUGACGCCAUCGGUGUCAUAGACUAAUGAUCGAACGAAUAUCGGUGUUUAUUUUUUAUUUUCCGUUUCGUUCUCUGUUCUUUUGUUCGAGAAAUUUUUAUUAUCGUAUACGAGAAUACGAGGCCUGUAGUUCCGUAGUCAAAAUCGUGUAUAAAAAUAGUGUAUACCGUGAGGGUUUACUGUGGCAAUGUACAUAAAUGAGGAUUGAGGGUUAGGUUUAGGAACAUUAAAUUCCAAAGAAACAUUAAGCAGGGGUAUUCUUCAGAAGACUCUGAGUUUUAUUGAAAUUUCAAUAAAGAAGACUGUCUUGUGUGUGCUAAGGAUCUAGGUAUUAGUGUAGUUUUAGUUAUUGUGUUUAAGUUAAGUUUGAAGAGGUAUCACGUAAAAUGUCAACAAAAAACAACCAAAAAGUAAACGUUCACUUAGACGCAUAGUGACCAAAAAAACUGAAACAGAACUUUUGCUGACUUCAGAUGACACUCUAUGACCCUAUCCUGAGUUAUAAUUGAUGCAGUGAGAUGUAAUAAAAGAACCUCAAAUGCGUGUGAUAAUGUAUAAAAUAUGUUGCAUUAUGUGAUUUUUAUUGAAUAAAUUUUAUAAGCAUA